UAGCUUGCUAAUGAAAUUCUUAGUGGCGGACGGGUUAGUAACACGUGAGAAUCCUACCCUUGAGUGGGGAAUAGCCUUUCGAAAGGAAGAUUAAUGCCCCAUAGUCUCUACGGAGUAAAGAUGCCUUCGGGUGUCGCUUAAGGAUGGGCUCGCGGCCUAUCAGCUAGUUGGUGAGGUAAGAGCUCACCAAGGCAACGACGGGUAGCUGGUCUGAGAGGACGAUCAGCAACACUGGAACUGAGACACGGUCCAGACACCUACGGGUGGCAACAGUCGAGAAUCAUUCACAAUGGACGAAAGUCUGAUGGUGCAACGCCGCGUGGAGGAUGACGGCCCUAGGGUUGUAAACUCCUGUCAUCAGGGAGUAAGACUUAUUCGUUAAUAGCGUGUAAGUUUGAUAGUACCUGAAGAGGAAGGGACGGCUAACUUCGUGCCAGCAGCCGCGGUAAUACGAAGGUCCCAAGCGUUGUUCGGAAUAACUGGGCGUAAAGCGUGUGUAGGCCGCGCGG
Molecule: ribosomal RNA, 509 nt
Filed under: uncultured Roseibacillus sp.
Lineage: Bacteria; Pseudomonadati; Verrucomicrobiota; Verrucomicrobiia; Verrucomicrobiales; Verrucomicrobiaceae
Description: bacterial SSU rRNA
Rfam family: Bacterial small subunit ribosomal RNA
Source: RNAcentral